GAGCCAGAGGGCCGGGGCGGGGCCAGGGCUGGGGCGGGCCCCGGCCGAGGGGAAAAGGAAGAGUGAGUCCUGGCCCUUCCCCCACCCGCCUCGCCCGCGCCGCCUCUGCCUCUUGGGAGUCCAUUGCUGUGGCCCGGAGGGCGGGGACAAGACAGACUCACGCCUGGAAUCCCAGCCCUUUGGAAGGCUGAGGCAGACAGAUCAUCUGAGGUCGAGAGUUUGAGACCAACCUGACCAACAUGGAGAAACCCAGUCUCUACUAAAAAAUACAAGAAUUAGCCACGCAUAGUGGUUUAUGCUGUAAUCCCAGCUACUCAGGAGGCUGAGACAGGGGAAUCACUUGAACCUGGGAGGUGGAGGUUGCGGUGAGCCAAAAUCACCCUGUUGUACUCCAGCCUGGGCAACAAGAAUGAGACUCUGCCUCAAAAAAAAAAAAAAAAAAAAAAGUCUUGCUUGCGGGGCCAGGCACAGUGGCUCACACCUCUAAUCCCAGCACUUUGGGAGGCCAAGGAGGGUGGAUCACCUGAGGUCAGGAGUUCAACACCAGCCUGGCCAACAUAGUGAAACCUUGUCUCUACUAAAAAUACAGAAAUUAGCCAGGGGAGGUGGCAGGUGUCUGUAAUCCCAGCUACUCAGGAGGCUGAGGCAGGAGAAUUGCUUGAACCCAGAGCGGGGUGGGGGGUAGAGGGAUGGAGGUUGCAGUGAGCUAAGAUCAAGCCUCUGUAUUCCAGCCUGGGUGACAAGAAUGAAAAUCUGUCUUGAAAAAAAAAAAAGUCACUGGGCACGGUGGCUCACGUCUGUAAUCCCAGCACUUUGGGAGGCUGAAGCAGGUGGAUCACCUGAGGUCAGGAGUUCAAGACCAGCUUGAUCAAUAUGGUGAAACCCCCAUCUUUACUAAAAUUACAGAAAUUAGCUGGGUGUGGUGAUGUGCGCUUGUAGUCCCAGCUAUUUGGGAGGUUGAGGCAGGUGAAUCACUUGAACCCGGGAGGCAGAGGUUGCAGUGAGCUGAGAUCAUGCCACUGCACUCCAGCCUGGGUGACAGAAUGAGACUCCGUCUCAAAAAAAAAAGUCUUUAUCAUUUACUAGAAUAAAACAGCUGCCUUCUUGAGGCCUUUCUUCUAAAACUGCAUAAAAUAAAAAUCUUCACUUUGCUAUUUGAUGACUCGUUAAAAAUUAAAAGAAACUUUUCAUUCCCCCAGUCUUCUGUUGGAGGAGAAAUGCUCCCAGUUCCUUAAAUGUUAACAGUAACACAAUUUCCAGAUGCCAUACCAACUGGCCACUGUCCUUUAGACAGUCAGCAGUUAGACAAUAUUGCUUUUAAAAUGUGACACCAGGAAGGGAAACUGAUAUCUUAAAUGUAAUCAGCCUAGCCAAGCAUCCAGGGGCUCCUGCAAGUGCGCAGACUCCCACAGUCAGUGUGCCCUAAACCUGAAUUUGGUUUUUAACCAGUUUUGGUACCCCCAGUUAUUAUGACUCUUGACUUGCAAAACUAACUUUAAAAAGAAAAAGGUACUGCUUCUUCUUUUCAUGCAAGCAACAUGUUCUCAUUGUGGAAAAUACAGAUAAAUGUUCGAAAUACAUUAAAACUCUUCAGAGAUAAUUCCUGUCAAUUGUUUACUCUGUUUUUUCCCAGAUGGUUCUCUUUGCAUAUCUUGAUGUUGUGGAGAUUAUGGCAUAUGUACAAUUUUUGCAUUCUUAUUUUUUCACAUUAUCAACAUAAAUGUUUCCCUUCUUAUAAGCAUUAUCUGUGUUUCUCCCAAAAUAAAUACUUCAGAGAUUUAUUUACAAGGA
Long non-coding RNA from Callithrix jacchus (white-tufted-ear marmoset), 1791 nucleotides. RefSeq lists it as uncharacterized. NCBI's taxonomy places the organism in Eukaryota, Metazoa, Chordata, Mammalia, Primates, Cebidae. The record is from RefSeq and is a predicted model, not a curated record.